This 512-nucleotide ribosomal RNA is filed under the name uncultured bacterium. RNAcentral's name for it is "bacterial SSU rRNA". It matches the Rfam family "Bacterial small subunit ribosomal RNA", at positions 25 to 518 of the family's 1533-position model. The record is from RNAcentral.
CAGAACGAACGCUGGCGGCGUGCUUAACACAUGCAAGUCGAACGCGAAAGGGACUUCGGUCCUGAGUAAAGUGGCGCACGGGUGAGUAACGCGUAGAUAACCUGUCUUCAUGUCUGGAAUAAUACGCCGAAAGGGGUACUAAUACCGGAUAUUCUUGCUUUUCAUAAGUAUGCAAGCAAAGGUGGCCUCUGCAUAUGCUACUGCAUGAAGAGGGGUCUGCGUACCAUUAGCUAGUAGGUGGGGUAAUGGCCUACCUAGGCGACGAUGGUUAGCGGGUCUGAGAGGAUGAUCCGCCACACUGGCACUGGAACACGGGCCAGACUCCUACGGGAGGCAGCAGUGAGGAAUAUUGCGCAAUGGGGGAAACCCUGACGCAGCGACGCCGCGUGAGUGAGGAAGGCCUUCGGGUCGUAAAGCUCUGUCAAGAGGAAAGAAGUGUACAAUGGCUAAUACCUGUUGUAUUUGACGGUACCUCUAAAGGAAGCACCGGCUAACUCCGUGCCAGCCGCCGC